Molecule: transfer RNA, 66 nt
Filed under: Hemicaecilius smithersi
Lineage: Eukaryota; Metazoa; Arthropoda; Insecta; Psocodea; Sphaeropsocidae
Description: tRNA-His
Source: RNAcentral
AUCUAUUUAGUUUAAAAAAAUUUAAAUUUGUGGAAUUUAAGAUGUAAGCAUAUACUACAUUAGAUA